GAGCGAACAGACGAGGAGCUUGCUUCUCUGACGUUAGCGGCGGACGGGUGAGUAACACGUGGAUAACCUACCUAUAAGACUGGGAUAACUUCGGGAAACCGGAGCUAAUACCGGAUAAUAUAUUGAACCGCAUGGUUCAAUAGUGAAAGACGGUUUUGCUGUCACUUAUAGAUGGAUCCGCGCCGCAUUAGCUAGUUGGUAAGGUAACGGCUUACCAAGGCAACGAUGCGUAGCCGACCUGAGAGGGUGAUCGGCCACACUGGAACUGAGACACGGUCCAGACUCCUACGGGAGGCAGCAGUAGGGAAUCUUCCGCAAUGGGCGAAAGCCUGACGGAGCAACGCCGCGUGAGUGAUGAAGGUCUUCGGAUCGUAAAACUCUGUUAUUAGGGAAGAACAAAUGUGUAAGUAACUAUGCACGUCUUGACGGUACCUAAUCAGAAAGCCACGGCUAACUACGUGCCAGCAGCCGCGGUAAUACGUAGGUGGCAAGCGUUAUCCGGAAUUAUUGGGCGUAAAGCGCGCGUAGGCGGUUUUUUAAGUCUGAUGUGAAAGCCCACGGCUCAACCGUGGAGGGUCAUUGGAAACUGGAAAACUUGAGUGCAGAAGAGGAAAGUGGAAUUCCAUGUGUAGCGGUGAAAUGCGCAGAGAUAUGGAGGAACACCAGUGGCGAAGGCGA
RNAcentral lists this ribosomal RNA (678 nucleotides) under uncultured Staphylococcus sp. RNAcentral's name for it is "bacterial SSU rRNA". It matches the Rfam family "Bacterial small subunit ribosomal RNA", at positions 64 to 724 of the family's 1533-position model. The record is from RNAcentral. Lineage: Bacteria; Bacillati; Bacillota; Bacilli; Caryophanales; Staphylococcaceae.